RNAcentral lists this transfer RNA (93 nucleotides) under Bacillota bacterium. Its description in RNAcentral is "tRNA-Ser". It matches the Rfam family "tRNA". Rfam says of the family: Transfer RNA (tRNA) molecules are approximately 80 nucleotides in length. Their secondary structure includes four short double-helical elements and three loops (D, anti-codon, and T loops). Lineage: Bacteria; Bacillati; Bacillota. The record is from RNAcentral.
GGAGGGAUACUCAAACGGCAAGAGGGCGGUUUGCUAAACCGCUAGUAGGGUCAUAAGGCCCUAGUGCGGGUUCGAGUCCCGCUCCCUCCGCCA